CCGACGAUGGAUAGGGGUUCUGAGAGGAAGGUCCCCCACAUUGGUACUGAGACACGGACCAAACUCCUACGGGAGGCAGCAGUGAGGAAUAUUGGUCAAUGGGCGUAAGCCUGAACCAGCCAAGUCGCGUGAGGGAUGAAGGUUCUAUGGAUCGUAAACCUCUUUUAUAAGGGAAUAAAGUGCGGGACGUGUCCCGUUUUGUAUGUACCUUAUGAAUAAGGAUCGGCUAACUCCGUGCCAGCAGCCGCGGUAAUACGGAGGAUCCGAGCGUUAUCCGGAUUUAUUGGGUUUAAAGGGUGCGUAGGCGGCCUUUUAAGUCAGCGGUGAAAGUCUGUGGCUCAACCAUAGAAUUGCCGUUGAAACUGGGAGGCUUGAGUAUGUUUGAGGCAGGCGGAAUGCGUGGUGUAGCGGUGAAAUGCUUAGAUAUCACGCAGAACCCCGAUUGCGAAGGCAGCCUGCCAAGCCAUGACUGACGCUGAUGCACGAAAGCGUGGGGAUCAAACAGGAUUAGAUACCCUGGUAGUCCACGC
Molecule: ribosomal RNA, 530 nt
Filed under: uncultured bacterium
Lineage: Bacteria
Description: bacterial SSU rRNA
Rfam family: Bacterial small subunit ribosomal RNA
Source: RNAcentral